This 235-nucleotide ribosomal RNA is filed under the name Physarum didermoides. RNAcentral describes it as "partial small subunit ribosomal RNA". The record is from RNAcentral. Lineage: Eukaryota; Evosea; Eumycetozoa; Physariida; Physaraceae.
AGGCUAAUACGUGAACGUAAAACUCGGUCGACUGGGCAACCGGAAGGUCGAGGGUCGUGUGACGCUUUAUUGCAACGCUCGACAUGAAUGGGUGCACGAUCAAACCACCAUACCAAACGGAUUAGUCGGGAAACCCUAACGGGUGAAACGGCUAGCUCGGGUGGGUCUUGCUGUGUGCUUCUGACCUAUCAACUAGAUGGCAGCGUAAAGGACAUGCUAUGGUGACAACGGUAUC